CUUGACUCUAGUCUGGCACUGUAAGGAGACAUGAGAGGUGUAGCAUAAGUGGGAGACCCUCCCUCCGGGGCGGCGGUCGCCGUUGAAAUACCACUACUUUCAUCGUUUCUUUACUUACUUGGUGAGGCGGAGGGCGCGCGUCGUUCCCCGUGUUCGGCGCGCGGUCUUCUGGAACCAAGGGCGGCGAGUGCAAGAUCCUUGCCGAUCGAUCCGAUCCAAGGACACUGCCAGGCGGGGAGUUUGACUGGGGCGGUACAUCUGUCAAAGAAUAACGCAGGUGUCCUAAGGCCAGCUCAGCGAGGACAGAAACCUCGCGUGGAGCAAAAGGGCAAAAGCUGGCUUGAUCCCGAUGUCCAGUAAGCAUAGGGACUGCGAAAGCACGGCCCAUCGAUCCUUUUGGCUUGGAGAGUUUCCAGCAAGAGGUGUCAGAAAAGUUACCACAGGGA
This 446-nucleotide ribosomal RNA is filed under the name Vistrolepisma aff. brigalowsum AM-2022a. RNAcentral describes it as "Visma aff. brigalowsum AM-2022a partial 28S ribosomal RNA". It matches the Rfam family "Eukaryotic large subunit ribosomal RNA", at positions 2421 to 2826 of the family's 3401-position model. The record is from RNAcentral. Lineage: Eukaryota; Metazoa; Arthropoda; Insecta; Zygentoma; Lepismatidae.